Long non-coding RNA from Dreissena polymorpha, 300 nucleotides. RefSeq lists it as uncharacterized. The transcript is spliced from 3 exons. The record is from RefSeq and is a predicted model, not a curated record. Lineage: Eukaryota; Metazoa; Mollusca; Bivalvia; Myida; Dreissenidae.
UUUGCAGACGUGCUGGUGUGAGGAGGACACAUGGAGGUCCACGACAACUACCUAACCAAGGCCCACCAGCCAGGAACAGUUCGAUCCGCCCUGACAGUGUUUGAGCCUUCUUGAAGUGGGCCGGGGACAAAAAGCAUGCACCAGCACCAACGGUGGAGGAAGCCGAUCGCACUAUCCAGGGCUUCCUGUCAGCCACCCGCGUCGCUCUGCCCUCGGCCGCCGCCCCGGAGCAGCAACCACAGCGUGAGGAAACGAUGUACGAUGAAACAGAUGGGCAUGAUUUCACGCAUCAUAGCGACA